UUCUGUUGUCAAUUGGUGUGGAAAUGAUAACAACCAAAGAAGUAGUAGUAGUACUAGAAGAGUUAAGAGUUUGAGGAAGGUGAAAAACUGGAGCAAUAUUAACUCACCACAUGAGGCUUGUUCCCCUAUAAAAAGUCCAUCCAAUGAUCAUUCUACUGAUGUUUGGCGCGAGAAGGCAAUCUGAUGCAAUUCUGUACUGUAAGAGAUCGUAUGUCAACUGAGCCUGAUAUCGAUCAUGGUGAUCGUUUUGACCAGAAGAAGCAAUUCUAGAUGUUAAAUUUCAUCCUUAAAUUCUUUUCUCAGAUGUAUAUUUAGAUUUUUGGCUCUUCAUACAAAUAAUCUAUCAUGUAUUACUCAGAUUCAAUAUUUUGUACAUUCUCAUGUGAAAAUGAAAAUGAUAAAAUAGACAAG
RNAcentral lists this long non-coding RNA (411 nucleotides) under Capsicum annuum. RNAcentral's name for it is "long non-coding RNA (CANN_LNC010713)". Lineage: Eukaryota; Viridiplantae; Streptophyta; Magnoliopsida; Solanales; Solanaceae. The record is from RNAcentral.